Mus musculus (house mouse) is the source of this 3487-nucleotide long non-coding RNA. RefSeq annotates it as predicted gene, 40591. The transcript has 4 exons. NCBI's taxonomy places the organism in Eukaryota, Metazoa, Chordata, Mammalia, Rodentia, Muridae. The record is from RefSeq and is a predicted model, not a curated record.
GUUCCCCAGACAUUUAUGAGGCUAUGCUCUCCUGGAGCAUAGUGGGAGGUGGUGGAGUCUUAGAAGGAGAGGCCUAAUGGGAGCUGUCAGGGGAAAUACAGGGAGCCUUGCCCCUGCGCCCAACCCCUACAUAGGAGGUGAGUUUUGUUUUGUCCUGGGCUCCCAGCCUGACAUACUUACUGCCUUGCUUCAUGUACAAAUGCUGACCAGAGGAUUACAACGUACAGAGCUGUGAGUGAAAAUAAAUCGCAUCUCCUUAUGAGUUGAGUAUCAGGUAUUCAUUUUGGUAAUGGGAACUGACUUAACGAUUGACAUUUCUACUUAUGGUCCCUAACCUUGUGUUAUCUUCUUUGCCAAAGAACCACAGGAUUAAGAAGGGAAGGAAAGAGCAGAAAGGAAUAACUGGGAAGAAAUCACAGUGUGGCAACAUGGCGCACACGUCAAGGAGAAGUGCAGUGGGACUGGACAUCAUGCCAGCUAGGAAGAAAACAAGAACUUACACUCGGCCCGCCUCCAUGCAUCUUCAGAGCUCGAACGGUGGCUACCAGCACGACAACGUUGGGCACCAGGCCAGAAGCUCGGCAUUUGAUAUUGAAGAAUUUCUCCAUCCCAAUAUCAGCCCCAAAGCCAGCUUCAGUCACUGUACAGAAACAGAUUUAUAGCAGAACAAUUGGAAGAAUACCCCUCCUUUUCACGGCAGAUGGGACCAUUCUCAUGACUCCAUCUAUUGUGGGCAAAGUUAGAAGUGAUUUCUACUCCCCUGCAAGGAGGUCCUGAGAGGCUACUGUGAGGAGGCUGUGAAGAUAAAGCUUAAGAUGCAAAGGCGAUUCUAGGAUGCUGCAGAUGUGAGGACUACAGAGAGAAAGAGAGAUUGGGCUAAGAAGAAGAUUUCUCUUUCCCCGCUUCUUGACUGUGGAUGCAAUGCCACCCACUCCUGCUACCAGCCUUGCCCACCAUACCGUGUGGACUACAGCCUCAAACUGGGAGCCAGAAGAACUAUUUGUUUUGAUGUUGCUUUUCUCAGUAGUUUAUCACAGCAGCAGGAAAAGUAAAUCUGAAUUCUACCCUGUGUCAUCCUUAGAGCUGGCUGUUCUCGUGCUUGACCCGCCUUUACCCACCCUAUGGCACUGCAAACCAUAAAAUGUCAUUGAGUUCCUCCUGAGUGAAGUGAUAUUCGUCCCUGCAUCCCCUCCCACUAGUGAAGGUGAGGGGAAACUCAGCAGUUUCUGGAGAUAUUUUUGGUCACCACUCGUAGCAUUUAACUAAGACAUAGCAUCUUAUAAUGCUCAAAACUAAAACAAAAACAAAACAAAACAAAAACAAAACAGAACAAAACCAAAAAUAAACCCUCCACCGCACUCUAGCAGCUGGCUAUGAGUCAAGAAGAACAAAGGAACCCUGGACUCUCUAGACACUCCCUCUGAGAAUAUUACGGAUGCACCAGAGGCUAGACUACAAGGCUGCACAAACUUAGGAUGUUAAUCACCGUAACCUCAUCCACUGAGAUGCUGGGGUCUGAAUUAUCCACAUAAAAAAUUCUGCUCAGCAGAGCUUUGAUGUAUUGCAUCAAUAAUGGGGUCAGUGCAACUUGGCAAGUGGGGACAAAGGUGAGUCCGGACUUAGUAGCCUGAGGAGGAAGGAGGGAGGGGGGCACCGAUCAACAUGAGAAGGUGCAGGUGAUGGUGGUUGGGUUGUCAGCCUUCCUGCUAAAAUGUGUAUUUGCUGGAAGGCAGGCAACUAUUUAACAAACUGGGCAUGAGAAGGUGAAGGUAAAUGGAACAUUUAUUGAACAUUUCUACCUGGGCAUUUUUUCUAGUUUUAUUUUCUUGCUGCACUAAUACACUCGGAACAAGAGCAACUUGGGAAGACAAAAGGGUUUAUUUCAGCUCACAAAUACCAAGUCAUGACCCAUCACUGGAGGAAGGCAGAACAGGGACUCCCUCGAGCUGGGCCUGGGACAGAGGGCAUGGAGGAGUCAGUUGCAUUUGCUUACUGGCUCAGUCAUUGGCCAACACUCAGCAAGUUUUCUUAUAUAUCUGACUCACCUGCCUAUGUGGUGUCAGCCACAGGGGAUGGGCCCUCCUGCACCAAGACAAUGAGCACAGGGCAAUAUGAUCUGAGUAAUUCCUUCCCUCUUUCCAGAUGACCAGCAUAGCCCUCUGCUUAAAGCCCGUGAUUCGAAGGAUGGAAGGUUUCAAUAAUUGUUCUCUAUGUUACUAUGGUAUUAAGCUGGACUGAGACCCAGGCUCAACUUGCUGAUCCAUCCGACAACCAUAGACAUUUCUGUAGCUGAACUGUUUGCAACAAAAAAUCCAAGUGCCUUGUGCUUCAAGGGUAUUUCAUUCUUUGGAUUCAGAAAUCUGUUUUCUCUUAGGAGCAAUUCGUGUGCAGAUUACCCAUCUACCCUUCUAAUUGUUGGUUGCCACGCCAACAGAGGUGGGACUUGGGCAAGGAAGAGUAGAUAAGACUUUGGAUGAAUCAAGAAAGAUUUCAGAGAGGAUGCUUCAGGGACCAUGUCUGUCUGGACUUCAUUCCUAACACCAGGGGCAGGCAGGCCACACAAGCACAUCAUAGUGUUCCCUCCUUAGAACCAAGUGGUCUCCCAGAGCUACCUCCCCACUGAGCCCUUAGACCCCCCAAGACUGGUCUCCCUAAACCAGGCACCAGCUUUCUCGCCAUGGGAUGGAGAAGUGGGUGAUUCUAAUUUUCUAGCUUAGAUUGUCUUUACACCAAUGUACAGAUAGACUGGGGAAAGAAGACUGGUUUAGUUUAAAAAUUUUCUCUCUCUCUCUCUCUCUCUCUCUCUCUCUCUCCAACAGGGGAAACCCUUCUUAAAGCAAGACAGGUCUUCCUUGAGUUUUUCAUACUUGAAACACCUGAAGAUUAUCAGCAGAACUGGGAACUGAAUUUUCACCUUGUAAUGUCACUAAAAUGCCCUUUGUUCUAUAUGCACUCAGACAAUAAAAAGAAAAAUCGGUCAUGUCAGAUUUCAUAGCUACUUUAUGAUAGCGAUACAUUUUCUGUGUGAUGCAUGCAACAGACAUAUAACAUACAACAUAUUGAAUUCCCCAUUACUCCUGGACAUGAAGUUAGAUUUAUGAACUGUUAGAGAUCUCAUAGCACUAGUCCCUGUUAUCAGCUUGGCACAGGACAGAUUUGGUCGAUUCAUGCCACCACUCUUACUUUCUCACGACAAAUGAGAGACCGCAAGGGGACAUGAGUAUAGAAAGACAUGAGGCGCAUGGAGCUAGGCUUUGCUCUAAAGCAUGGUGGGUAAUAAUUUCUGUGCAGAGGUAAAGGAAAUAGAGUUGAGUCUUUCCCGGCCCCUUCUGUCCUAUGUAAAUAGUUAUUCUCUGCAGCUCCCUGCUGAUGAACUCGGGAAGAGUCAGCUCAAAGUCACCGCACGCAACACAUGCAUGCUCAAGGUGGGCUAGCCUUUGAGGAUCGUUUAGUUAUUUUCUCAGUGGCUGGAAGGAGACUAAGUAAA